Molecule: ribosomal RNA, 426 nt
Filed under: uncultured bacterium
Lineage: Bacteria
Description: partial 16S ribosomal RNA
Rfam family: Bacterial small subunit ribosomal RNA
Source: RNAcentral
GUGAGGAAUUUUCCGCAAUGGGCGAAAGCCUGACGGAGCAAUGCCGCGUGAAGGAUGAAGGCCUAUGGGUUGUAAACUUCUUUUCUCAGAAAAGAAUUAUGACGGUAUCUGAGGAAUAAGCAUCGGCUAACUCUGUGCCAGCAGCCGCGGUAAGACAGAGGAUGCAAGCGUUAUCCGGAAUGAUUGGGCGUAAAGCGUCUGUAGGUUGUUUAAAAAGUAUUCUGUCAAAGAUUAGGGCUUAACCCUAGAUAGGCAGAAUAAACUUUUAAGCUAGAGUUUGGUAGAGGCAGAGGGAAUUCCCGGUGGAGCGGUGAAAUGCGUAGAUAUCGGGAGGAACACCAAAGGCGAAGGCACUCUGCUGGGCCAAUACUAACACUGAGAGACGAAAGCGUGGGGAGCAAACAGGAUUAGAUACCCGGGUAGUCC